GGGAGAGUUGUUGGUUGGAUAUGGAAAACCCCUUCUCUUUGAAAGAAAAGGAGAUCAGUUAUUGAACUUCCCCAAGAGCACAGAUGAAUGGUAUGGCUCCAUUAGAUGAUGGUACAAGGAAUUUGAUUUCAGAGGACCUUUUCAACAAUUCUUCUGAGUUCAUGAAUUUUGAUACACAUGGUGGUUGGUUCAACAGUCCGUCAGCAACAGACCAGAUGUUUG
This 222-nucleotide unclassified non-coding RNA is filed under the name Hevea brasiliensis (rubber tree). The record is from RNAcentral. Lineage: Eukaryota; Viridiplantae; Streptophyta; Magnoliopsida; Malpighiales; Euphorbiaceae.